This 623-nucleotide long non-coding RNA is filed under the name Salvia miltiorrhiza (redroot sage). Its description in RNAcentral is "long non-coding RNA (SMIL_LNC007147)". The record is from RNAcentral. Lineage: Eukaryota; Viridiplantae; Streptophyta; Magnoliopsida; Lamiales; Lamiaceae.
UUCUUCCUCCUUCAAAUCCCUCCUCCACGUUCGCCCCCUCCGAUUGCCAAUCACCGGCGUCCGGGCCGUCCCCACCGUCACCCGCGUUCGCCCCCUCCGCCUCCCACGUGUCCGUGCCUUAGAAAGCCAUCACCGAAGCUCUGCCUCCGCCGGAAACGACGACGCUGCCUUCGCCGCUCUGCCUCCGCCGGAAACUACGCCGCCUUCCUUCGCCGCUCUGCUGCGCUGCCGGAAACGACGUGGCGAAGCCUUCGCCUCCGCUUCCGUUGUGACUAUACGCCACUGCUGGAGAAGGUCAACCCCCGGAACUACGCCGCUGUCAAAUCCGUCGUCGAUCGGAGCCUGCCACCGGGAGAGAAGGUCCGCUCCUGCCGCCGCCACUGAAGAAGCUCAGUCGCUGCUGCCGAUUAUUCCUCUUUGCCGUUGAAGCUCAGCAGCUUAUGUUCGAGGACGCUCAGCAGCGUAUGCUCGACCAGAUAUUGGCUAGGCUUCCACCUGGAUCUACGGGACCCACUCCACCCACCGGACCUUCGUCUUGAUUAUUAUGUUGUGUUUCUGUACUUUGAAUACUUGACUAUUUCUAUUAUGUUUCUUAACACUUGAAUAUUUUGUUAUGUUAUGAC